Molecule: ribosomal RNA, 449 nt
Filed under: uncultured bacterium
Lineage: Bacteria
Description: partial 16S ribosomal RNA
Rfam family: Bacterial small subunit ribosomal RNA
Source: RNAcentral
AACGAACGCUGGCGGCAUGCCUAACACAUGCAAGUCGAACGAGAUCUUCGGGUCUAGUGGCGCACGGGUGCGUAACGCGUGGGAAUCUGCCCUUUGGUUCGGAAUAACAGUUGGAAACGACUGCUAAUACCGGAUGAUGACGAAAGUCCAAAGAUUUAUCGCCAGAGGAUGAGCCCGCGUAGGAUUAGCUAGUUGGUGUGGUAAAGGCGCACCAAGGCGACGAUCCUUAGCUGGUCUGAGAGGAUGAUCAGCCACACUGGGACUGAGACACGGCCCAGACUCCUACGAGAGGCAGCAGUGGGGAAUAUUGGAUAAUGGGCGAAAGCCUGAUCCAGCAAUGCCGCGUGAGUGAUGAAGGCCUUAGGGUUGUAAAGCUCUUUUACCCGGGAUGAUAAUGACAGUACCGGGAGAAUAAGCUCCGGCUAACUCCGUGCCAGCCGCCGCGGUAA